This 240-nucleotide ribosomal RNA is filed under the name uncultured bacterium. RNAcentral's name for it is "partial 16S ribosomal RNA". It matches the Rfam family "Bacterial small subunit ribosomal RNA", at positions 791 to 1034 of the family's 1533-position model. The record is from RNAcentral.
UAGUCCGCACGGUAAACGAUGGAUGCCCGCUGUCCGGCCUAUAGGUCGGGCGGCCACGCGAAAGCCUUGAGCACCCCACCUGGGGAGUACGCCGGCAACGGUGAAACUCAAAGGAAUUGACGGGGGCCCGCACAAGCGGAGGAACAUGUGGUUUAAUUCGAUGAUACGCGAGGAACCUUACCCGGGCUUGAAUCGCGGAAGAUUUAUCCGGAGACGGGUAUUCCCCUCGGGGCUUCCGCG